GCGCGCUCUGCUUCAGGUGUCCGUUGUCCUCGGCUCCNNCNCGCGCNGCUGUCANUGUCCCAGCCUCCCCCCUGGCCCGUCGCCCGGCCGCCCCGGCAGUCGCUCUGCUCUCUGGGUCGGCGCAGUCGGCGGCCGGGUCGCAGGCCUCCCUCGGCACUCUCCUCUCGUCGUGGGGGCAUCCCGUCGGGCCACACUUCACGCCUUCACAUCACCCGCCAUUCACGUCACCUCACGCGGUCGCACACAGCCAGGGGCAUCUAUCGGCACCUUGCGCGCAUUGCCNUGCAGCCCGCAUGUCGGCAUUCAGCUCAGUUGGCGGGCGUCCCAGGCCCCACCCACAGGCGCACGCAUCCCGUCAGCCUGGUCUGCAGCAGGGCAUGCAUCCAGCCCCCCAUUGGCACACCUGUCAGCACCCGGUCCCAGCACUCCUCACGGGCAGGCCAGCCCGGUGGGGCACAUCAUUUGGCACCACAUGGGCGCCACAGCCUGCAUCCCAGCCCNUNACCGCGUGGGUUGCACGCACAGGCCUUCGGGGUCUUGUCCNCAGCCCCUCUUUAGUCNGGGGGCCACCGUCACACAUCCCCNGCCCCGGGCAUUACAUCACCUGGGUUGGGCCNUGCCGGGUUCCCCCCNACACAGGCCNAUCANCGCCUCACCCGGGNCCGUNCANACUCUUCCGGUNGGCCCCCCAGGUCCUCNGUCCCGGAGCGGGGUUCCCUUNCACCCGGCCCACGAGGGGGUUGGCCUCCUCAGCCCGGUUUACCACUUCCGGGGGCCNCUUUACUCCUUCGGGGCGGCCGGUUCCCNCCCGGCGGGUUCGCCGGUUUCCGAGUUGGGUUCUCNUUCACUUCACGGUUCCCCCGUUGGUUCAGCCCCUAGCCCCNCUGAGGGGCUUUCUCUANCCCUCGNNAGGUCUCACNUCUGGACCCGUUGGGGNCUUCCAUUGGGGGNUUUGGCCC
This 959-nucleotide ribosomal RNA is filed under the name uncultured bacterium. RNAcentral describes it as "partial 16S ribosomal RNA". The record is from RNAcentral.